AAAACACUAUUGAACGCUGGCGGCAGGCCUAACACAUGCAAGUCGAGCGCCCCGCAAGGGGAGCGGCAGACGGGUGAGUAACGCGUGGGAAUCUACCUUUUGCUACGGAAUAACUCAGGGAAACUUGUGCUAAUACCGUAUGUGCCCUUCGGGGGAAAGAUUUAUCGGCAAAGGAUGAGCCCGCGUUGGAUUAGCUAGUUGGUGAGGUAAAGGCUCACCAAGGCGACGAUCCAUAGCUGGUCUGAGAGGAUGAUCAGCCACACUGGGACUGAGACACGGCCCAG
This 284-nucleotide ribosomal RNA is filed under the name uncultured bacterium. RNAcentral describes it as "partial 16S ribosomal RNA". It matches the Rfam family "Bacterial small subunit ribosomal RNA", at positions 30 to 334 of the family's 1533-position model. The record is from RNAcentral.